GACUAACGCUGGCGGCGUGCCUAAUACAUGCAAGUCGAACGGGAUUCUUUGAUCAGCUUGCUGAGAGAAGGAUCUAGUGGCGGACGGGUGAGUAACGCGUGGGAAUCUGCCUCUUACUGGGGGAUAACAGUGGGAAACUACUGCUAAUACCGCAUAAGAUCUUCGGAUGAAAGGUGCAACUGCACCGGUAAGAGAUGAGCCCGCGUCCCAUUAGCUAGUUGGUGAGGUAAAGGCUCACCAAGGCGACGAUGGGUAGCCGGCCUGAGAGGGUGAACGGCCACACUGGGACUGAGACACGGCCCAGACUCCUACGGGAGGCAGCAGUAGGGAAUCUUCCGCAAUGGGCGCAAGCCUGACGGAGCGACGCCGCGUGAGUGAUGAAGGCCUUGGGUCGUAAAGCUCUGUUCUUGAGGACGAAUAAGCCAGGGAGUGGAAAGCCCUGGUGAUGACUGUACUCAAGGAGAAAGCUCCGGCUAACUACGUGCC
RNAcentral lists this ribosomal RNA (486 nucleotides) under uncultured bacterium. RNAcentral describes it as "bacterial SSU rRNA". It matches the Rfam family "Bacterial small subunit ribosomal RNA", at positions 28 to 509 of the family's 1533-position model. The record is from RNAcentral.